This is a long non-coding RNA of Sinocyclocheilus anshuiensis, 476 nucleotides long. RefSeq lists it as uncharacterized. NCBI's taxonomy places the organism in Eukaryota, Metazoa, Chordata, Actinopteri, Cypriniformes, Cyprinidae. The record is from RefSeq and is a predicted model, not a curated record. The transcript is spliced from 3 exons.
AGAAUUCCCCUCCACGCAGAGCGCCACAGAAGAGGCGCAUCUCUUGUAAACACAGCGGCUCUCGCGAGAUUUCCUCGCGCCGCACAGCACACGCAGGAGCGUCUAUGGAGCAGUGAGGCAGGCGGGAGACGGAGCAACCGAGCCCGGCGCGGACUGGAGCAGGAGACGCUGGGUGAGAGAGGGUAACCUGCCUGUGACGUCGCUGCUGUGGUGUGUCUGAGCGGCGGCUCCCGUGGCGUGCUUCUCUGAUUAUCCCGUCCAUCCUUGCUCCAUUCGAGCCUGUAAGGAAGACGCGCACAUACUCAGGGAGGCGAGGGAAGCCCAUUGGUCUCCCAACCGACGCCAGCGCCAGGCUGAGUCACUGUUGAGGAGUGGGAAGAUCUUGAGAGAGAGGGAGACAGCAUCACGGAGAGAGCGUGAGAGAGAAAAGCAACGGAAGGAGGGGAAAACCGCUACACAACGCCUUUGAGAGCGAA